ACAUACCCUUGGUUCGGAAUAACUGAGAGACAUUUCAGCUAAUACCGGAUGUGCCCUAUGGGGGAAGAUUCAUCGCCAAAGGAUUGGCCCGCGUCUGAUUAGCUAGUUGGUGAGGUAACGGCUCACCAAGGCGACGAUCAGUACGUGGUCUGAGAGGAUCGAUCACGCCACACUGGGACUGAGACACGGUCCCAGACUCCUACCGGGAGGCAGCAAUGGGGAAUAUUGGACAAUGGCGGGCAACCUGAUCCAGCCAUGCUGCUUGANNUGAUGAAGGCCUUAGGGUUGUAAAGCUCUUUCGUCAGGGAGAUNAUGACGGUACCUGAGAAGAAGCCCCGGCUAACUUCGUGCCAGCAGCCGCGGUAAUACGAGAGGGGGCUAGCGUUGUUCGGAAUUACUGGGYGUAAAGCGCACGUAGGCGGACAUUUAAGUCAGGGGUGAAAUCCCAGGGCUCAANCCNCUGGAACUGCCUUUGAUACUGGGUGUCUNGANUACGAGAGACAGCUACGGCUUUAAGCAUUCCCGCCUGGGGAGUACGGUCGCAAGAUUNAAAACUCAAAGGAAUUGACGGGGGCCCGCACAAGCGGUGGAGCAUGUGGUUUAAUUCGAAGCAACGCGCACAGAACCUUACCAGNCCUUGGACAUCCGUCGACCGUCGCAGAGAUGCGUUUUUCCCUUCGGGGACGGCGAGACAGGUGCUGCAUGGCUUGUCGUCAGCUCGUGUCGUGAGAUGUUGGGUUAAGUCCCGCAACGAGCGCAACCUCGCUCUUCAGUNGCCANCAUUGGUUGGGCACUCUGGAGGGACUGCCGGUGAUAAGCCGGAGGAAGGUGGGGAUGANNGUCAAGUCCUCAUGGCCCUUACGGGCUGGGCUACACACGAUGCUACAAUGGCGGUGACAAUGAGCAGCGACUUCGCGAGGAGAAGCUAAUCCUCANAAAGCCGUCUCAGUUCGGAUUGCACUCUGCAACUCGAGUGCAUGAAGUCGGAAUCGCUAGUAAUCGNGUAACAGCAUGACGCNNUUGAAUUACNUUUCCCGGGCCUUGUACACACCGCUCGUCACACCA
This 1065-nucleotide ribosomal RNA is filed under the name Pleomorphomonas sp. E2A3. RNAcentral describes it as "bacterial SSU rRNA". It matches the Rfam family "Bacterial small subunit ribosomal RNA", at positions 124 to 1404 of the family's 1533-position model. Lineage: Bacteria; Pseudomonadati; Pseudomonadota; Alphaproteobacteria; Hyphomicrobiales; Pleomorphomonadaceae. The record is from RNAcentral.